UGUAGGUCAGAGAGCUGCAGGGAGCGACACGAGGAUCAAGACGACAGAUUCCCCGCAGAAACACCAACGCGGUUGCAGGAGAUCAGAGAUUUUCACUGACGUGAAUUUGAGCGUGCAGUUCUGCCAGUCGAAGGGGAAGAAGUUCACGUUGAUGGAGCAGGAGGAGCGGAAGAUGGCAGGAGAACGAUCUCUGGCAGCCACACCAUGCUGGACGGAAGACGAAGCAUCUGGAUGCCGUCGAACUCCGAUGCGUUCCACGAGAGCCUGUAAGGACGAUUCACCAGAGAGAUGAGGUUGGAGAGCGUCAGAGCCAGAGACACCUCCACAACGUCCUGCUGCCGCUGCACGGGCCUCAGCUCCUUGUUGUAUCCUUUCUCCUUGAACAGGUAGCUGAUGAGACGCUCCUCCUCGUUCCUGCACAAACACUCUGGCACAAGAGCGGCUUCAGUCAACACUCACCUCUAUCAUCUCUCAUUGGUGGCUUUGAUUUCAGUCUGCAGGGCAGCCUCCUUUUUACCACAAAACACCACAAGUACCACUACAUACCACAGAGUACCACAAAACACCACAGAGUACCACUAAAUACCACAGAGUACCACUAAACACCACAGAGUUCUACUAAAUACCACAGAGUACCACAAAACACCACAGAGUACCACUAAAUACCACAGAGUACCACUAAACACCACAGAGUUCUACUAAAUACCACAGAGUAGCACAAAAUACCACAGAGUACCACUACAUACCACAGAGUACCACAAAACACCACAGAGUACCACUAAACACCACAGAGUUCUACUAAAUACCACAGAGUACCACAAAACACCACAGAGUACCACUAAAUACCACAGAGUACCACUAAACACCACAGAGUUCUACUAAAUACCACAGAGUAGCACAAAAUACCACAGAGUACCACUACAUACCACAGAGUACCACAAAACACCACAAGUACCACUACAUACCACAGAGUACCACAAAACACCACAGAGUACCACUAAAUACCACAGAGUACCACUAAACACCACAGAGUUCUACUAAAUACCACAGAGUAGCACAAAAUACCACAGAGUACCACUAAAUACCACAGAGUACCACUAAAUACAACAAAGUACAACCAAAUACCACAGAGUACCACGAAAUAUAACUAAGUACCACACAAUACCACAGAGUACCACAAAAUACCACAGAGGACCACUGAAUACCACAGAGUACCACUAAAUACCACUAAGUACAACUAAAUACCAAAGAGUACAACAAAAUAGCUCAAGUACCACAAAAUACAAUGGAGAACCACUAAAUACCACAAGUACCACAAAAUACUACUGAGUACAACCAAAUACCACAGAGUACCACUAAAUAUCACAGAGUACCACAAAAAACCACAAGUACCACAAAAUAACACAAAGUACCACAAAAUACAACAGAGUACAACCAAACACCACAGAGUACCACUAAAUACCACAAAGUACAACCAAAUACAACAAAGUACAACCAAAUACCACAGAGUACCACGAAAUAUAACUAAGUACCACAUAAUACCACAGAGUACCACAAAAUACCACAGAGGACCACUGAAUACCACAGAGUACCACUAAAUACCACUAAGUACAACUAAAUACCACUAAGUACAACUAAAUACCACUAACUACAACUAAAUACCAAAGAGUACAACAAAAUAGCUCAAGUACCACAAAAUACAAUGGAGAACCACUAAAUACCACAAAAUACUACUGAGUACAACCAAAUACCACAGAGUACCACUAAAUAUCACAGAGUACCACAAAAACCACAAGUACCACAAAAUAACACAGAGUACCCCUAAGUACCACAGAGUACCACUAAAUAACACAGAAACAGCUAAAUACCACAGAGUACCACUAAGUACCACAGAGUACCACAAAAUAUCACAGAGGACCACUGAAUACCACAGAGUACCACUAAAUACCACCAAGUACAACUAGAUACCACUAAGUACAACUAAAUACCAAAGAGUACAACAAAAUAGCUCAAGUACCACAAAAUACAAUGGAGAACCACUAAAUACCACAAGUACCACAAAAUACUACUGAGUACAACCAAAUACCACAGAGUACCACAAAAAACCACAAGUACCACAAAAUAACACAGAGUACCACUAA
Non-coding RNA from Nothobranchius furzeri (turquoise killifish), 2141 nucleotides. The record is from RefSeq and is a predicted model, not a curated record. Lineage: Eukaryota; Metazoa; Chordata; Actinopteri; Cyprinodontiformes; Nothobranchiidae.